This 119-nucleotide non-coding RNA is filed under the name Clostridium sp. Its description in RNAcentral is "MoCo sequence". It matches the Rfam family "Molybdenum/Tungsten riboswitch aptamer (Moco RNA motif)". Lineage: Bacteria; Bacillati; Bacillota; Clostridia; Eubacteriales; Clostridiaceae. The record is from RNAcentral.
ACAAUAAAAUUGAUCCGAUUUCGUACGCCUACAGCGCCCGCCAUGGAGUACGAAACGAUAGGGUACGUCUGAAAACGGACGUGCCUCCCAUUGAGGAAAGGAGGAAAACUUAAUGAAAC